GCGGCCGAUGUCUGAUUAGUUAGUUGGUGGGGUAAAGGCCUACCAAGGCAACGAUCAGUAGCUGGUCUGAGAGGACGAUCAGCCACACUGGGACUGAGACACGGCCCAGACUCCUACGGGAGGCAGCAGUGGGGAAUUUUGGACAAUGGGCGAAAGCCUGAUCCAGCCAUGCCGCGUGAACGAAGAAGGCCUUCGGGUUGUAAAGUUCUUUUAGUUGGAAAGAAAAAAUUAUGAUGAAUAAUCAUAAUUCAUGACGGUACCGACAGAAAAAGCACCGGCUAACUACGUGCCAGCAGCCGCGGUAAUACGUAGGGUGCAAGCGUUAAUCGGAAUUACUGGGCGUAAAGGGUGUGCAGGCGGCCUUGUAAGUCAGAUGUGAAAGCCCCGGGCUUAACCUGGGAAUU
This 404-nucleotide ribosomal RNA is filed under the name uncultured bacterium. Its description in RNAcentral is "bacterial SSU rRNA". It matches the Rfam family "Bacterial small subunit ribosomal RNA", at positions 226 to 622 of the family's 1533-position model. The record is from RNAcentral.